RNAcentral lists this ribosomal RNA (464 nucleotides) under uncultured bacterium. RNAcentral's name for it is "bacterial SSU rRNA". It matches the Rfam family "Bacterial small subunit ribosomal RNA", at positions 338 to 795 of the family's 1533-position model. The record is from RNAcentral.
CCUACGGGGUGCACCAGUGGGGAAUAUUGCACAAUGGGCGCAAGCCUGAUGCAGCCAUGCCGCGUGUAUGAAGAAGGCCUUCGGGUUGUAAAGUACUUCCAGCGGGGAGGAAGGUGUUGAGGUUAAUAACCUCAGCAAUUGACGUUACCCGCAGAAGAAGCACCGGCUAACUCCGUGCCAGCAGCCGCGGUAAUACGGAGGAUGCAAGCGUUAAUCGGAAUUGCUGGGCGUAAAGCGCACGCAGGCGGUCUGUCAAGUCGGAUGUGGAAUCCCCGGGCUCAACCUGGAACUGCAUUCGAAACUGGCAGGCUAGAGUCUUGUAGAGGGGGGUAGAAUUCCAGGUGUAGCGGUGAAAUGCGUAGAGAUCUGGAGGAAUACCGGUGGCGAAGGCGGCCCCCUGGACAAAGACUGACGCUCAGGUGCGAAAGCGUGGGGAGCAAACAGGAUUAGAUACCCCUGUAGUC